UUGUUAAAUUUGAUUUGUUCGUUUUGUCGCUUGUUCGAAUUUCGUUAUUAUUUCACAUAAUUGUUUCAUGUGAAAUAAAUAUAUUAGUUUCAUUUUGGAGUUGAUACAUUGGACUCGUACUUGUACUCUUUGAAUCAGGUUAUCAUGUAUAGUUUAUUUUGAUAAUUGUAGAGCGGUACAUGUUGCUACCUUCUUUUUGAGACCUUGUGACUAUAAUUUGAUUUGGUUCAACAUGUA
RNAcentral lists this long non-coding RNA (237 nucleotides) under Panax ginseng (ginseng). RNAcentral's name for it is "long non-coding RNA (PGIN_LNC008954)". The record is from RNAcentral. Lineage: Eukaryota; Viridiplantae; Streptophyta; Magnoliopsida; Apiales; Araliaceae.